RNAcentral lists this long non-coding RNA (506 nucleotides) under Brassica napus (rape). RNAcentral's name for it is "long non-coding RNA (BNAP_LNC014798)". The record is from RNAcentral. Lineage: Eukaryota; Viridiplantae; Streptophyta; Magnoliopsida; Brassicales; Brassicaceae.
AAAAAUAACACGAAAGAUUAUAGGCUUCAGUAUAUAGAGCAUUGUACCAAAAAACUGAACAUUUUGUUGAGGUUAACACAUAGAUUAUGAGAAAAAUUCAACAAAAUGAUAAUAUUGUUUUAAUGCAUAGUUGUACGAUGAACUAAAAUAUGAUGAUGGUCAGAGAGGUUUGGAACCUUUGUUGUCUCCGUUUCUCUAUAAUAGCGAUUUUAUUGUGAUUUGUCAACUGAUUUAGGGAGCAUAUGAAGUUUUAUUAAAUUAAUUGUUAAAAAAUAGAACGAUGCCUAUGUACCGUGAAAGAGAGUUUAGAAUACAUUUAUCGAAAUGUAGAAUGUGGUUAGAAAUUUUUAAAACAACAAUAAAAAUUAUAUGCUUCAGUAUAUAUGCCAUGAAAGAGAGUCUUGGAACCCUUGUUGUCUCUGCUUCUCUAGAAUCCCGAUUUUAUUGUGGUUUGUCAACUGAUUUAGUGAGCAUAAUAAAUUUUACUAAAUUAAUUGAUAAAAAAA